AAUUGAAGAGUUUGAUCAUGGCUCAGAUUGAACGCUGGCGGCAGGCCUAACACAUGCAAGUCGAACGGUAGCACAGAGAGCUUGCUCUCGGGUGACGAGUGGCGGACGGGUGAGUAAUGUCUGGGAAACUGCCCGAUGGAGGGGGAUAACUACUGGAAACGGUAGCUAAUACCGCAUAACGUCGCAAGACCAAAGUGGGGGACCUUCGGGCCUCACACCAUCGGAUGUGCCCAGAUGGGAUUAGCUAGUAGGUGGGGUAACGGCUCACC
Molecule: ribosomal RNA, 269 nt
Filed under: Salmonella enterica
Lineage: Bacteria; Pseudomonadati; Pseudomonadota; Gammaproteobacteria; Enterobacterales; Enterobacteriaceae
Also listed under: 2 other names
Description: partial 16S ribosomal RNA
Rfam family: Bacterial small subunit ribosomal RNA
Source: RNAcentral